GUGAGUCAUCGAAUCUUUGAACGCAUAUUGCGCUCGAGCCCUCGGGCAAGAGCAUGUCUGCCUCAGCGUCGGUUUACACCCUCACCCCUCCCAACUUGUUGGGCGUGUUUGCUCUGUUUGCAAGCCAUUGGGGUGGAUCUGGCUUCCCCAAUCAUGUCCGUUUCACUGCGGCAGAUUGGGCUGGCUGAAGUGCAGAGGCUUAAGCAAGGACCCGAUAUGGGCUUCAACUGGAUAGGUAGCACCGGCUCUUGCCGACUACACGAAGUUGUUGCUUGUGGAUCUUGCUAGGAGCCAAGCAGG
RNAcentral lists this unclassified non-coding RNA (300 nucleotides) under uncultured fungus. Its description in RNAcentral is "sequence contains 5.8S rRNA gene, ITS2". The stretch from base 1 to 71 matches the Rfam family "5.8S ribosomal RNA", at positions 84 to 154 of the family's 154-position model. The record is from RNAcentral. Lineage: Eukaryota; Fungi.